RNAcentral lists this ribosomal RNA (253 nucleotides) under uncultured bacterium. Its description in RNAcentral is "partial 16S ribosomal RNA". It matches the Rfam family "Bacterial small subunit ribosomal RNA", at positions 524 to 776 of the family's 1533-position model. The record is from RNAcentral.
UACAGAGGGGGCAAGCGUUGUUCGGAAUUACUGGGCGUAAAGGGCGCGUAGGCGGCCGCCUAAGUCAGACGUGAAAUCCCCAGGCUUAACCUGGGAACUGCGUCUGAUACUGGGUGGCUUGAGUUCGGGAGAGGAAUGUGGAAUUCCAGGUGUAGCGGUGAAAUGCGUAGAUAUCUGGAGGAACACCGGUGGCGAAGGCGGCAUUCUGGACCGAAACUGACGCUGAGGCGCGAAAGCCAGGGGAGCAAACGGG